AACAAAAGAAAGUUCUCUCACAGCUCGCCGCCGCCGCCCCCCCUCAGGCUCUCAAACUUCCCCUUUUGAACCCCCCGGUUCGCCGUCCAGACAUGCUCAGUACAUAGGUUCUUAUCCAUACAUAGUCCGGGGCAUGUGCUCUUUGCACAUGCUCAGUUGCAAAGUUUUCCCCAUGCAUGUUCCUGGGCUGUGUUACCGGCGUCCGUGGUCUGGGGGUUUCUUUGUGGGCCGGGGUCUCUGUGAUGAAGAUUUUGAGUCUUCCUCGAUGUCCGCAAGAUGAACCCGGCUUGGAGCAUGCGCCUUUAAUAAAGGGCUGUUCCAGUUCCUGGGAAAACUCAAGUGUCCCUUCCUGAAUGGCCCCAACUGGGAGAGGUUUGUGCACAGUGGAUGAAGAUGAAUCAAAAGUAAAUCAAGGCCAAAAUAAAAGGAUUUAU
This is a long non-coding RNA of Myiozetetes cayanensis, 434 nucleotides long. RefSeq lists it as uncharacterized. Lineage: Eukaryota; Metazoa; Chordata; Aves; Passeriformes; Tyrannidae. The record is from RefSeq and is a predicted model, not a curated record. The transcript has 3 exons.